This is a long non-coding RNA of Canis lupus familiaris (dog), 997 nucleotides long. RefSeq lists it as uncharacterized. The transcript is spliced from 4 exons. NCBI's taxonomy places the organism in Eukaryota, Metazoa, Chordata, Mammalia, Carnivora, Canidae. The record is from RefSeq and is a predicted model, not a curated record.
UGUAUAAGAUUUUAGUCUCCCUACUGCUCUGCUCAAUGCCUUAUUGAUCAGAAAGUUUAUGAGAUAAAUGAAUUCUCAAUUGGAUUAGCUCCCCCCACCCCCAGUCCUUUUCUGCAGCUUUGCUACUGAGUUUGUAAUACAGAGACAGGAGCUGAGUGAAGAGGAGGGCUUAGAGGAAGGAACAGAUAAACAUACACAUGGAAGGUCACCCAGCAGCUGACCAUAUCUAGCCCCUGUGUUUCCUUAAACUCUCGUGAAGAAUGUCCUUCACUUCCCUAAAUAGCACAAUUUUCAGUGAAGUGAAGGUAACGGGAAUUAGAAGCUGUCAUCUCAGAAAGAGACAUGCUACUGUAUUUUCUGCAUUAGUCUGGAGGGCUGCAACAUAGGACAAAGAGAAAUAACCUGCCAUCAUCCACUUCUGGUCUAUCCAGCCAAUGUGCACCGCCACAAUCUUCAGCUGUAAACUCAAAUGCAGGGACUUCAGAGGUGGAUGCCAUUGGCCAAGAAGGUGAAUUCUGAAAAUCCAGUUGGCUGGACCUUCGGUAACCAAUUGAAGCCAAAGGCAAUUGUAGGCUACAUGGAUCUAAAAACUUUCUCCCACCGUUUGCUCCAGUCUGUCCUCGAUUCCAAAAUUCUCCCUGCUGGCUGUCAACUGUAGAAUUAGAUGAUGCUUGAUGGCUAAACCACCUCCAUCUGAUUUUCAAAAUCUGCUUCACAUCAAACUCUUUACGAGAACCAGACAUCCUCAGAGAAACCAAGUGAUCGUCUAGGCAACGGGCAAAAAGCACUGCACACAGAUUUGUGCAUCCAACCAAGACAAGAGAAGUAUAUGCCCUGCUGUACACAAUAAACAGAUUGAAAGGAAAUAAAUCACGUUCACAUAUAUAUCUACAUUAACUUUUAUACCAAUAUAGCAGAUUAUAAAGAACAAAGGAGAAUGAAUAGCGAUGAAACACGGUGGAACAUUCCGUUCAAUCAGAGCAAACUCUCAUCCACC